UAUGAUAGAGGCGCGGCUGCCAUCAGUACCUUCCCGACAAACGUCAGACAGCGGGGAAGAGAAAGGGGCUGCCGCCGAAGCGCUGUUCCCGCUGUCUGGCGGGGCGGAGGCUGGGCCGACGGAGAACAUCCGGCGGACUGUCACGGAAACGUGGAGCGCUGUC
This 163-nucleotide non-coding RNA is filed under the name human gut metagenome. Its description in RNAcentral is "Lysine riboswitch". It matches the Rfam family "Lysine riboswitch aptamer". Rfam says of the family: Riboswitches are metabolite binding domains within certain messenger RNAs that serve as precision sensors for their corresponding targets. Allosteric rearrangement of mRNA structure is mediated by ligand binding, and this results in modulation of gene expression. This family includes riboswitches that sense lysine in a number of genes involved in lysine metabolism, including lysC. The record is from RNAcentral.